AUUGAACGCUGGCGGCAGGCCUAACACAUGCAAGUCGAGCGGAUGAAGGGAGCUUGCUCCUGGAUUCAGCGGCGGACGGGUGAGUAAUGCCUAGGAAUCUGCCUGGUAGUGGGGGAUAACGUCCGGAAACGGGCGCUAAUACCGCAUACGUCCUGAGGGAGAAAGUGGGGGAUCUUCGGACCUCACGCUAUCAGAUGAGCCUAGGUCGGAUUAGCUAGUUGGUGGGGUAAAGGCCUACCAAGGCGACGAUCCGUAACUGGUCUGAGGAUGAUCAGUCACACUGGAACUGAGACACGGUCCAGACUCCUACGGGAGGCAGCAGUGGAGAAUAUUGGACAAUGGGCGAAAGCCUGAUCCAGCCAUGCCGCGUGUGUGAAGAAGGUCUUCGGAUUGUAAAGCACUUUAAGUUGGGAGGAAGGGCAGUAAGUUAAUACCUUGCUGUUUUGACGUUACCAACAGAAUAAGCACCGGCUAACUUCGUG
This 482-nucleotide ribosomal RNA is filed under the name uncultured bacterium. Its description in RNAcentral is "partial 16S ribosomal RNA". It matches the Rfam family "Bacterial small subunit ribosomal RNA", at positions 30 to 507 of the family's 1533-position model. The record is from RNAcentral.